AAUAGAUACCCGGGUAGUCCAUGCCGUAAACGUUGGGCACUAGGUGUGGGGGACAUUCCACGUUUUCCGCGCCGUAGCUAACGCAUUAAGUGCCCCGCCUGGGGAGUACGGCCGCAAGGCUAAAACUCAAAGGAAUUGACGGGGGCCCGCACAAGCGGCGGAGCAUGCGGAUUAAUUCGAUGCAACGCGAAGAACCUUACCAGGGCUUGACAUGAACCGGAAAGAUCUGGAAACAGGUCCCCCACUUGUGGUCGGUUUACAGGUGGUGCAUGGUUGUCGUCAGCUCGUGUCGUGAGAUGUUGGGUUAAGUCCCGCAACGAGCGCAACCCUCGUUCUAUGUUGCCAGCACGUGAUGGUGGGGACUCAUAGGGAGACUGCCGGGGUCAACUCGGGAGGAAGGUGGGGACGACGUCAAAGUCAUCAUGCCCCUUAUGUCUUGGGCUUCACGCAUGCUACAAUGGCCGGUACAAAGGGUUGCGAUACUGUGAGGUGGAGCUAAUCCCAAAAAGCCGGUCUCAGUUCGGAUUGGGGUCUGCAACUGGACCCCA
This 548-nucleotide ribosomal RNA is filed under the name uncultured bacterium. Its description in RNAcentral is "bacterial SSU rRNA". It matches the Rfam family "Bacterial small subunit ribosomal RNA", at positions 777 to 1320 of the family's 1533-position model. The record is from RNAcentral.